GACGAACGCUGGCGGCGUGCUUAACACAUGCAAGUCGAACGGAAAGGCCCUGCUUUUGUGGGGUGCUCGAGUGGCGAACGGGUGAGUAACACGUGAGUAACCUGCCCUUGACUUUGGGAUAACUUCAGGAAACUGGGGCUAAUACCGGAUAGGAGCUCCUGCUGCAUGGUGGGGGUUGGAAAGUUUCGGCGGUUGGGGAUGGACUCGCGGCUUAUCAGCUUGUUGGUGGGGUAGUGGCUUACCAAGGAUUUGACGGGUAGCCGGCCUGAGAGGGUGACCGGCCACAGUGGGACUGAGACACGGCCCAGACUCCUACGGGAGGCAGCAGUGGGGAAUAUUGCACAAUGGGCGGAAGCCUGAUGCAGCAACGCCGCGUGCGGGAUGACGGCCUUCGGGUUGUAAACCGCUUUCGCCUGGGACGAAGCGUGAGUGACGGUAAUGGGUAAAGAAGCACCGGCUAACUACGUG
This 468-nucleotide ribosomal RNA is filed under the name uncultured bacterium. RNAcentral's name for it is "partial 16S ribosomal RNA". It matches the Rfam family "Bacterial small subunit ribosomal RNA", at positions 28 to 507 of the family's 1533-position model. The record is from RNAcentral.